ACGUAGGGGGCAAGCGUUGUCCGGAAUCAUUGGGCGUAAAGAGCGCGUAGGCGGUCCGGUAAGUCGGUUGUGAAAACUGGGGGCUCAACCCUCAGAGGCCGACCGAUACUGUCGGGCUAGAGUCCGGAAGAGGCGAGUGGAAUUCCUGGUGUAGCGGUGAAAUGCGCAGAUAUCAGGAGGAACACCAAUGGCGAAGGCGGCCUUCUGGUCGGAUACUGACGCUAAAACGCGAAAGCGUGGGGAGCAAACAGGA
Molecule: ribosomal RNA, 253 nt
Filed under: uncultured prokaryote
Description: partial 16S ribosomal RNA
Rfam family: Bacterial small subunit ribosomal RNA
Source: RNAcentral